Paramuricea clavata is the source of this 320-nucleotide non-coding RNA. Lineage: Eukaryota; Metazoa; Cnidaria; Anthozoa; Malacalcyonacea; Plexauridae. The record is from the annotation of a GenBank genome assembly.
CGGCAAUUUCUUCCCGUAGACUGUAAGAGGGUCGAAGUUCUGUUUCGUGGAUUUAAAGUCGAUUUGGAGUUCUUUACAUUUAUCUGCAUUAAGAAGUAAUCUGUUGGAAUUCGACCAACUAGCCGUUUUGUGGAAGUUACUGAUAAAAAAUAAGCGAAAUUAAAAUAAAUUCAGUCCCAAAAACACAAAAGACUUGUGUAAAAAUACUAAAACAAGUAUUCGCCUCAGGCUCGGUGAUUAUCGGGGAAUAUUCACCUCGACUUCGUCUCGGCGAAUAUUCCCCGAUAAUCACCUCGCCUUCGGCGAAUAAUUGUUAAAUA